UGAGGCCCCAGGUCAGGUGGGAUUACCCGCUGAAUUUAAGCAUAUCA
RNAcentral lists this ribosomal RNA (47 nucleotides) under Rinorea ovata. RNAcentral's name for it is "partial 28S ribosomal RNA". The record is from RNAcentral. Lineage: Eukaryota; Viridiplantae; Streptophyta; Magnoliopsida; Malpighiales; Violaceae.